UCACGCUAUCAGAUGAGCCUGCGUAAGAUUAGCUUGUUGGUAGGGUAAAAGCCUACCAAGGCAACGAUCUUUAGCUGGUCUGAGAGGAUGAUCAGCCACAUCGGGACUGAGACACGGCCCGAACUCCUACGGGAGGCAGCAGUGGGGAAUAUUGGACAAUGGGGGCAACCCUGAUCCAGCAAUACCGCGUGUGUGAAGAAGGCCUGAGGGUUGUAAAGCACUUUCAAUUGGGAAGAUUAUGACGUUAACUUUAGAAGAAGCACCGGCUAACUCCGUGCCAGCAGCCGCGGUAAUACGGAGGGUGCAAGCGUUAAUCGGAAUUACUGGGCGUAAAGCGUGCGUAGGCGGUUUAUUAAGUCAGAUGUGAAAGCCCCGGGCUUAACCUGGGAACUGCAUUUGAAACUGGUCAACUAGAGUAUGGUAGAGGAAAGUGGAAUUUCUGGUGUAGCGGUGAAAUGCGUAGAUAUCAGAAGGAACAUCAAUGGCGAAGGCAGCUUUCUGGACCAAUACUGACGCUGAGGUACGAAAGCGUGGGUAGCAAACAGGAUUAGAUACCCUGGUAGUCCACGCCGUAAACGAUGAUAACUAGCCGUUGGGGGGGGGAUUUACCCCUUAGUGGCGAAGCUAACGCGUUAAGUUAUCCGCCUGGGGAGUACGGCCGCAAGGCUAAAACUCAAAGGAAUUGACGGGGACCCGCACAAGCGGUGGAGCAUGUGGUUUAAUUCGAUGCAACGCGAAGAACCUUACCUGGUCUUGACAUCCUGCGAACUUUCUAGAAAUAGAUUGGUGCCUUCGGGAACGCAGUGACAGGUGCUGCAUGGCUGUCGUCAGCUCGUGUCGUGAGAUGUUGGGUUAAGUCCCGUAACGAGCGCAACCCCUAUCCUUAUUUGCCAGCACAUUAUGGUGGGAACUAUAAGGAGACUGCCGGUGAUAAACCGGAGGAAGGCGGGGACGACGUCAAGUCAUCAUGGCCCUUACGACCAGGGCUACACACGUGCUACAAUGGUCGGUACAGAGGGUCGCUAACCCGCGAGGUCAUGCCAAUCCCAGAAAAANUAUCGUAGUCCGGAUCGGAGUCUGCAACUCGACUCCGUGAAGUCGGAAUCGCUAGUAAUCGCGAAUCAGCAACGUCGCGGUGAAUACGUUCCCGGGUCUUGUACACACCGCCCGUCACACCAUGGGAGUUGGUUGCACCAGAAGUGGGUUGUUUAACCCUUUGGGGAGGGCGUUCACCACGGUGUGGUCAAUGACUAGGGU
RNAcentral lists this ribosomal RNA (1257 nucleotides) under uncultured bacterium. Its description in RNAcentral is "bacterial SSU rRNA". It matches the Rfam family "Bacterial small subunit ribosomal RNA", at positions 213 to 1481 of the family's 1533-position model. The record is from RNAcentral.